AGAACGAACGCUGGCGGCAUGCCUAAUACAUGCAAGUCGAACGAACUCUUCGGAGUUAGUGGCGCACGGGUGCGUAACGCGUGGGAAUCUGCCCCUUGGUUCGGAAUAACAGUUGGAAACGACUGCUAAUACCGGAUGAUGACGAAAGUCCAAAGAUUUAUCGCCAAGGGAUGAGCCCGCGUAGGAUUAGCUAGUUGGUGAGGUAAAGGCUCACCAAGGCAACGAUCCUUAGCUGGUCUGAGAGGAUGAUCAGCCACACUGGGACUGAGACACGGCCCAGACUCCUACGGGAGCAGCAGUAGGGAAUAUUGGACAAGUGGG
This 321-nucleotide ribosomal RNA is filed under the name uncultured soil bacterium. Its description in RNAcentral is "bacterial SSU rRNA". It matches the Rfam family "Bacterial small subunit ribosomal RNA", at positions 26 to 376 of the family's 1533-position model. The record is from RNAcentral.